CUAACCCCAGCUUCUCGUCUCCUCCUUAAGGAUAACCCUUUCACUUACAAGCACUUCAUUGAUCUGGUGCUUGGUCCAUAUCUGACAAAACCAUAUGACAGCAUGAGCACUUGGUUCCAAAAUGAUGAUUCUUCACCAUUUUUAACUGAAUUUGGAGAGACACUUUGGGAUAAGGCAGGCCAUGAAUCUGAGCUUAAUCGGAUGAUUAAUGCAUCCAUGGGUGGUGAUAGCUCUCUGAUUGGCAAAGCGGUGAUCGUCAAAUGUAAGGAGGUGUUCGAGGGGCUUACUUCGUUGGUUGAUGUUGCGGGUGGCACUGGAAAUAUGGCUAAGGCCAUUGCUGAUGCUUUCCCUCACUUGAACUGCACUGUGUUUGAUCAACCACGAGUCGUUGGUGAUUUGCAAGGCAGCAAGAACUUGAAUUUUGUUGGUGGAGAUAUGUUUAAGGCUGUUCCACCUGCAGAUGCUGUUUUACUAAAGGUUGUGAAUACUUUAAAUUUUUUUGCAAUAAUUAAAUUUUUUAUUCCAAAACUUGGAAUGUUAAACUAGUUUUGGUAUUUACAAACAGUGGACAUUGCAUGAUUGGAGAGAUGAAGACUGUGUGAAGAUACUAAAGAAUUGCAAAGAAGCAAUUACUAUCAGAAAUGAGAAACAAGGAGGGAAGGUCAUGAUCAUUGACAUGGUGGUGGGAGACCAGACCUCUGAUGCUGAUGAUAAGAUCACUGAAUCAAAGCUGUUAUUCGACAUAACAGCCAUGUCAUGUCUUACCGGUAAGCAGAGAAAUGAAAAGGAAUGGGCAAAUCUCUUCUUCAGUGCUG
RNAcentral lists this long non-coding RNA (815 nucleotides) under Manihot esculenta (cassava). RNAcentral's name for it is "long non-coding RNA (MESC_LNC008189)". Lineage: Eukaryota; Viridiplantae; Streptophyta; Magnoliopsida; Malpighiales; Euphorbiaceae. The record is from RNAcentral.